This 276-nucleotide long non-coding RNA is filed under the name Lathyrus oleraceus (garden pea). Its description in RNAcentral is "Pisum sativum (pea) long non-coding RNA (PSAT_LNC024185)". Lineage: Eukaryota; Viridiplantae; Streptophyta; Magnoliopsida; Fabales; Fabaceae. The record is from RNAcentral.
AAGAGUAUAGGAGGCGCCCACCUCAUUAUCUCUCGAAAGUUCGAAUGAUUGGCGCACGCCACAUUGCUUGAAUUCUUGUCACCCGAUUAAAACUUUAAACGUAUAAAUUCAAAUUACUAGUUCAAACCAAUAAAUUAUUUUUUUGCAAAUUAAACUUCGGAUGAAGAAGCAUGGGAGGCGUUCGCCUCACCAUCUCUCGAAUAAUUGAACGAUUGGCGCUUUCCAUAUUGCUCAAAUUGUCGACUUCCAAUUAAAAUCUCAACCAUACAAAUUCAA